This 422-nucleotide ribosomal RNA is filed under the name Fusobacteriota bacterium. Its description in RNAcentral is "Fusobacteria bacterium partial 16S ribosomal RNA". It matches the Rfam family "Bacterial small subunit ribosomal RNA", at positions 355 to 776 of the family's 1533-position model. The record is from RNAcentral. Lineage: Bacteria; Fusobacteriati; Fusobacteriota.
AGGGGGAUUUUGAACAAUGGGGGCAAGCCUGAUGCAGCGACGCCGCGUGUGGGAUGAAGGCCUUCGGGUUGUAAACCUCUUUCGCUGGGUUGAAAGGCCAUGCUUUGGGUGUGGUUGAUUUGAACUGGUAAAGAAGUACCGGCUAACUACUUGCCAGCAGCCGCGGUAAUACGUAGGGUACUAGCGUUGUCCGGAUUUAUUGGGCGUAAAGGGCUUGUAGGUGGUUUUUCGCGUCUGUCGUGAAAUCCUGUGGCUUAACCAUGGGCUUGCGGUGGGUACGUGCAGGCUUGAGUACGGUAGGGGAGACUGGAAUUCCUAGUGUAGCGGUGGAAUGCGCAGAUAUCAGGAGGAACACCGGUGGCGAAGACGGGUCUCUGGGCCGUUACUGACACUGAGGAGCUAAAGCGUGAGGAGCGAACAGU